GCAGCAGUGGGUCAGUGGUAGAACUCUCGCCUUUCAUGUGGGAGACCCAGGUUCAAUUACUGGCCAAUGCA
This 71-nucleotide transfer RNA is filed under the name Loxodonta africana (African savanna elephant). It matches the Rfam family "tRNA". Rfam says of the family: Transfer RNA (tRNA) molecules are approximately 80 nucleotides in length. Their secondary structure includes four short double-helical elements and three loops (D, anti-codon, and T loops). Lineage: Eukaryota; Metazoa; Chordata; Mammalia; Proboscidea; Elephantidae. The record is from Rfam by way of RNAcentral.